GUCUAUGGCCACGCCACCCUGAGCAUAACCCAUCAUGUCUGAUCUCAGAAGCUAAGCAGGGUUGGGCCUGGUUAAUACUUGGAUAGAAGACCACUUAGGAAGGCCGGGUGUUGUAGGCG
Molecule: ribosomal RNA, 119 nt
Filed under: Pteropus alecto (black flying fox)
Lineage: Eukaryota; Metazoa; Chordata; Mammalia; Chiroptera; Pteropodidae
Source: RNAcentral